RNAcentral lists this ribosomal RNA (294 nucleotides) under uncultured bacterium. Its description in RNAcentral is "partial 16S ribosomal RNA". It matches the Rfam family "Bacterial small subunit ribosomal RNA", at positions 773 to 1060 of the family's 1533-position model. The record is from RNAcentral.
GUGGAUUAGAUACCCUGGUAGUCCACGCUGUAAACGAUGACGACUAGGUGUGGGGGGGUUCAGUCCCUUCCGUGCCGCAGCUAACGCAUUAAGUCGUCCGCCUGGGGAGUACGGCCGCAAGGUUGAAACUCAAAGGAAUUGACGGGGGCCCGCACAAGCGGUGGAGCAUGUGGUUCAAUUCGAUGCAGAGCGAAGAACCUUACCUGGGCUUGACAUGUAGGAAGUAGAAACCGGAAACGGGGACGACCUGUUAAGUCAGGAGCCUACACAGGUGGUGCACGGUUGUCGACAGCU